Molecule: long non-coding RNA, 434 nt
Organism: Patella vulgata (common limpet)
Lineage: Eukaryota; Metazoa; Mollusca; Gastropoda; Patellidae
Exons: 3
Source: RefSeq, a predicted model, not a curated record
GUUUUAACUGUGGCAUGACAAUGGAGUCCAGCUGUAGAAGAUAUUUAUACUGUUCAGUAAACUCAGAGUGUAGAUUAUACCAGGCUGGUACAGAUUGUAUAAAGUUUGGUGAUACUACUGGUUGUUCUUGUUAUAGAAAGGAUAUUGGUCAAACCGCAUCAUCGACGGUAACAUGUCCGUUGGGAUUUUAUGGUGAAACUUGCCAACAUGUAAUAACAGCGUAAAACAACAAACACAAGAGAAUUAUACAAAGGACAUAAACGGACUUGAUCAGUUCAUGACACAAAUACAGUGGAACAGUUCCACCAACACGCAUUCAAUUGCUAAUCAAUCGAAUCAUUCUGGUAUCUGGAAUCUUAAAGGACAAUAUUGGUGCCAGUCAUUAUCACAUAUGUGAUAGAACUGGUUAAACACGUUCCAAAUAGUAUUUUAUC